UGGCUCAGUGGGUAAGAGCACUGACUGCUAUUCCAGAGGUCCUGAGUUCAAUUCCCAG
RNAcentral lists this transfer RNA (58 nucleotides) under Mus musculus (house mouse). It matches the Rfam family "tRNA", at positions 8 to 63 of the family's 71-position model. From Rfam's summary of the family: Transfer RNA (tRNA) molecules are approximately 80 nucleotides in length. Their secondary structure includes four short double-helical elements and three loops (D, anti-codon, and T loops). Further hydrogen bonds mediate the characteristic L-shaped molecular structure. tRNAs have two regions of fundamental functional importance: the anti-codon, which is responsible for specific mRNA codon recognition, and the 3' end, to which the tRNAs corresponding amino acid is attached (by aminoacyl-tRNA synthetases). tRNAs cope with the degeneracy of the genetic code in two manners: having more than one tRNA (with a specific anti-codon) for a particular amino acid; and 'wobble' base-pairing, i.e. permitting non-standard base-pairing at the 3rd anti-codon position. The record is from Rfam by way of RNAcentral. Lineage: Eukaryota; Metazoa; Chordata; Mammalia; Rodentia; Muridae.